This 745-nucleotide ribosomal RNA is filed under the name Kaistella antarctica. RNAcentral describes it as "bacterial SSU rRNA". It matches the Rfam family "Bacterial small subunit ribosomal RNA", at positions 65 to 810 of the family's 1533-position model. Lineage: Bacteria; Pseudomonadati; Bacteroidota; Flavobacteriia; Flavobacteriales; Weeksellaceae. The record is from RNAcentral.
AGCGGUAUUUGUCUUUCGGGACAGAGAGAGCGGCGUACGGGUGCGUAACACGUGUGCAACCUACCUUUAUCAGGAGGAUAGCCUUUCGAAAGGAAGAUUAAUACUCCAUAAUAUAUUAGAUGGCAUCAUUUAAUAUUGAAAACUCCGGUGGAUAGAGAUGGGCACGCGCAAGAUUAGAUAGUUGGUGAGGUAACGGCUCACCAAGUCAUUGAUCUUUAGGGGUCCUGAGAGGGAGAUCCCCCACACUGGUACUGAGACACGGACCAGACUCCUACGGGAGGCAGCAGUGAGGAAUAUUGGACAAUGGGUGAGAGCCUGAUCCAGCCAUCCCGCGUGAAGGAUGACGGUCCUACGGAUUGUAAACUUCUUUUGUAUAGGGAUAAACCCAGAUACGUGUAUCUGGCUGAAGGUACUAUACGAAUAAGCACCGGCUAACUCCGUGCCAGCAGCCGCGGUAAUACGGAGGGUGCAAGCGUUAUCCGGAUUUAUUGGGUUUAAAGGGUCCGCAGGCGGGCCGAUAAGUCAGUGGUGAAAUCUCAUAGCUUAACUAUGAAACUGCCAUUGAUACUGUCGGUCUUGAGUAAAUUAGAGGUAGCUGGAAUAAGUAGUGUAGCGGUGAAAUGCAUAGAUAUUACUUAGAACACCAAUUGCGAAGGCAGGUUACCAUGAUUUAACUGACGCUGAGGGACGAAAGCGUGGGGAGCGAACAGGAUUAGAUACCCUGGUAGUCCACGCCGUAAACGAU